UAUUAUAACUCCAACCCAUGUGAACUUACCUAUUGUUGCCUCGGUAGGCUGUGCUAUAUGAUAUGGGAAGCUACCCUGCAGCUACAUACCCUAAAUAGGAGUUGCCCUAGAGUGGAGUCUUAGGACUUGCACGCUGGAGAGAAGCCACCUUAGGGCAUGGAAAGCCGUUUACAGAUGAGCACCGAUCUAAUAGCAUGCUAAAAAGCCUGCCGAAGGACCACUAAACUCUGUUUUAUACUGUAUUUCUGAGUAAAUUAUACAAAUAAGUUAAAACUUUCAACAACGGAUCUCUUGGUUCUGGCAUCGAUGAAGAACGCAGCGAAAUGCGAUAAGUAAUGUGAAUUGCAGAAUUCAGUGAAUCAUCGAAUCUUUGAACGCACAUUGCGCCUAAUAGUAUUCUGUUAGGCAUGCCUGUUCGAGCGUCAUUUCAACCCCCAAGCCCUAUUUGCUUGACGUUGGGAGCUUACAGCUGCUGUAACUCCUUAAAUUUAGUGGCGGAGCUAGGUCAUGCUCUGAGCGUAGUAAUUCUUUUUUUCUCGCUCCUGAUGCUGGCUUGUAUCCUGCCGUAAAACCCCCUAAAUUUUAUUCUGGUUGACCUCGGAUCAGGUAGGAAUACCCGCUGAACUUAAGCAUAUCAAUAAGCGGGAGGAA
RNAcentral lists this ribosomal RNA (651 nucleotides) under Xylariaceae sp. LCC28. Its description in RNAcentral is "eukaryotic LSU rRNA". The stretch from base 272 to 425 matches the Rfam family "5.8S ribosomal RNA". Lineage: Eukaryota; Fungi; Ascomycota; Sordariomycetes; Xylariales; Xylariaceae. The record is from RNAcentral.